GAUGAAGAACGCAGCGAAAUGCGAUAAGUAAUGUGAAUUGCAGAAUUCAGUGAAUCAUCGAAUCUUUGAACGCACAUUGCGCCCGCCAGUAUUCUGGCGGGCAUGCCUGUUCGAGCGUCAUUACAACCCUCAGGCCCCCGGGCCUGGCGUUGGGAAUCGGCGGAAGCCCCCUGCGGGCACAACGCCGUCCCCCAAAUACAGUGGCGGUCCCGCCGCAGCUUCCAUUGCGUAGUAGCUAACACCUCGCAACUGGAGAGCGGCGCGGCCACGCCGUAAAACACCCAACUUCUGAAUGUUGACCUCGAAUCAGGUAGGAAUACCCGCUGAACUUAAGCAUAUCAAUAAGCGGAGGA
RNAcentral lists this unclassified non-coding RNA (353 nucleotides) under soil metagenome. Its description in RNAcentral is "partial contains 5.8S ribosomal RNA, internal transcribed spacer 2, and large subunit ribosomal RNA". The stretch from base 1 to 120 matches the Rfam family "5.8S ribosomal RNA", at positions 35 to 154 of the family's 154-position model. The record is from RNAcentral.